This 6426-nucleotide long non-coding RNA is filed under the name Brassica rapa (field mustard). Its description in RNAcentral is "long non-coding RNA (BRAP_LNC000875)". Lineage: Eukaryota; Viridiplantae; Streptophyta; Magnoliopsida; Brassicales; Brassicaceae. The record is from RNAcentral.
GGUUUGUCACUACUCAUGAUUUUUCUUCCAACUGGUUAUUUUGUGGAGUUAUUUCCAUGGAAUUUGGGACUGUUUUUUUUUUUCCAUUUUCGUGGAGUUAUUUAUUUUUCUUCAAACAGAAUAUUGAAAAAGAGAAUGUACGAGCGAAGAAAUGUCUUUUGAAGAGAAAAUUCAUACACAAGUAGGGGAAAUAUAAUGCGAUAUAAUUUGAAAGAUGGAUACAAUACAAUAAAUAUAUCAAAUAAACUCAUACUUUAUUAUUCUCUUUUUUUAUAUUAUAAUCCCAAAUUUGAAAAAGGACUUAGCGCACAAGGCUCCAAAAAACACAGCUUCAAAAUGGUAAGGAAACAAAACCAAAUUAUUUAGAAACGUGCCAACAUCCAAACAAAACUUUGCUUGGUCGGUUCAUUAUUUCUCACUAAGCGGACGGCAUCAGAUUUAACAAUAUAUGCGCGUAUCUGAUUACAUCGUUUCCUGGAGGCUCCUCUGUAUGCUCUCCAUAUGUCAAUAAAAUGAUUGCCAUCCCUUAGAUAACAGUGCCAUACUAUCCUAUCGCCGCUGCCUCUCUCCCUAACCGGGAAGUUGUAUUUACCAUUGAAUUUUAUUUCUUGAACACUUAUAGUUUCCUUUUUGUUCGAUGUGCAGUUGACUUUGACACUACGAGGAGGUUCAAGUUGGUUUUGAAAUUCCACCAGAUUGCAUCCGGAAGUUCUUUUCGAACUAAAACACAUAACAGUUAUUAACAUAAAAGUAAUGAGAUUAUUCAUCUUUUUUUUUUUUUUUGAAGAUGCUAGAGACCCAAAGCGUAUUAUGUAUAGUUUCUUUUGUGAUGAAUAAGGUAAGAAGCUAAAUAUAGACACACAUAUUACUCGAUUAAAGUUAUGGUUGGAGGAGCAUUCGCAGUCGAAAAGUAAGGUAAAACCAUAAGAUAAGAUCAAAUAAAUUUAAAUUGCAAAUUAACGUUGACCACUAAAACUAAAGAAACACGAGUCUGAAAGUAGGUUCUACAUUUUAUCCAUAAAAUUUGUUUUGAUCUAUUAUUCGUUCUGAUUCGAAUAUUAAAAAUAUAUAUCCAUUAAAACGAAAAAAAUCACAAAUAUUAAAAGUUUAGGAUGCGGAUACCUGCUCCUCUCCGGCUUAUAUACAAAAAAAAAAAAAAUAUAUAUAUAUAUAAUCAAAUAUAUAGUUUUAAAUGUAUAGUUUUGUAUAAUUAUUAUUUUAACAUAUAAUUUUAUUCACAAAAUUACUUAUAAAAUUAUGAAAUUAAGAAAACAAUAUAAAAUCAUUAUAAAACCUACAAUUUUUCUUAAAUUUUGUGACAAGUAAUAAAAUUUAAAUAUUUACAGAACAUAUUCUUUCACUACUUUUUACUUAUUAUCUUAUUAUAUAAGAAUAUGUUUGAAAACAAAUUUAUAUGGUUUUAUAGAUUUACUUGUAUUAAACAAAGUGGAUGAGAUAUCCACAAAUAUCCGUAAAUAUCCCCAAAUUUUCUGGAUAUCCAUAUAUUUCCAGAGUAAAUCAAAUCAAAAUUCUAUAUGCUCACCCCUAGCUAAAAGCAUCAUUAGCAUAGAGAUACUCUACCCAAUAGCUCACCAAUUUAAUAAUCAUAAUUUUAUUGCUUUCUCAUCUCUUUGUCAAUUGUGAAUUUCUCAUCCUAGAUACUAGGGCUACACAUAAUAUUCGCAUCUAAAAAACCGACAAGGAAUCUGAAAAUCAGGAUACAAAACUCGAUUGGAUCCGUCCAAAAUAUCCGAACAUGUACUCUUUUCAAACCCAAAGUAUCGAUAUCAAAUCCGAUUCGCACCAAACUGAAUGAGUAUCCAAUAUAUAUAUAUAUAUAUAUACAUAAAUAUUAGUUAUAGUUAUACUUAUAUUAAAAUUGAUUCCUAAAAUUAGAAUUAUAAAUUUAAUAUAAUAACCAUUUUAGGUACUUAUUGAUAGAAACAUAUGUUUUGAAUACAAAAUAACCAAAUCAAAUUGUAUCUAUGAUUUCUUUCAGACAAAAAAACUGACUUAAACCAUAUUUGCUAGGGUAAACGAUUUAUUUUACCCAUCAUAAGUAUCAUAUAGUUACAGUUACAUACAAACUUUCAAUCUUAUCUUAAUUUCCACUUAUUUAAAGUUAUUCAACCUAUUAUUUCCCAAUUCAAAAUUUCAAACAUAUUGAAUCCGAUCCGCACCGAGAAUUGAAUGAGAAUUGUAUCCAAACAUAUAAAUAUAUAUAAAUAAAUAAAUAAAUAAUAUAUAUAUAUAUAUAUAUGAGUUAUAAUUAUAUAUUGAUAUUAAUACAUAAAAUUGAAAUUAUAAAUUAAAUAUAUUAAUUAUUUUGAGGUAUUUAUUGAUAGAAAUGGAUGUUUUGGAUAAAAUACCUAAAUCAGAUUGUAUCUAUGUUUACUUUCGGUUGAAAAUUACCGAUUUAAACCAUACUUACCAGGGUAAACGAUUUAUUUUAUCCAUCAGAAUUAUCAUACACUCGGAACUUGAGGCUCUCUCAUGGGCAAUUGAGUGCAUGCUAUAGCUAUCGGCGCGUCCGGAUUUUGGCACCGAUUUUAAGGAUUUAACCUUGUGAUUCAAGAUCCAGGAGUAUGGACAAACUUUUCCACUAAACCGAAGGAGUUGUCAAGAUUGAAGAAUAGAUUCUUCGACUUCUCAAUUAUUUUUAUUCCUCAUUCUGAAAACGUAUCGUCUAAUUCCUUAGCUAAGAUAGCAAUAUCCUUUCACAUAUAUCUAUUAUAUUAAAGUAGAAGUGUCUUUAGGAAUUGUUUGGAAACAAGAAUAGCGGUAUAAAAAAGAAUAUAAUGUUGUUUGGAAACAUGAAUUGCAGUAUAUAAGAAAAAAAGUAAUGGGCUUAUGUUAUUAAGAAAAAUUGAAAGUUCAUUAUAUUAUGAGAAACUAUAGAUCUAGACCAGUUUUAAAAUAUACAAAAAUGGUCCACUAAUCUAAUUACCUAAAAACAUGUUUUUUUGUCUAAAAUAAUCAUAAAACAAAAUUUAAACUUGAUAUACAUAUUUCAAAUCAAAAUAAUAAUUUAAAAUUGAUUUAUAUAAAAACUUGAUAUACAUAUAUUCAAUAAUUGAGUUUUACUAAAAUAUUUUCCAAUAAGCAUUAUAAGAAAAAUGUUUUCAAUAUAUAUAUAUAUAUAUAUAUAUAUAUAUAUAUUUUUUUAUAAGAAAAUACAAUACAAAGCUCAAUUUCAAACACCAACUUAAAUUAUUGGUUUUAUAUUUCACAUUAAAUUCUAAAAAUAUAAUAUAUGUGAUUAUAUAUAUGAUGGUACAUAUAAAAUACUAUUAAUUAUGUUAUUACUUAUAUGAUGGUACAUAUAAAAUACGAUUAAUUAUAUGAUGACGCAUAUAAUAGUGACUAAGGGUAGGCGUUCGGGUGCCCAUUCGGGUUUGGUUCAUGUCUGUUUAGGUUUCGAGUUUUCAAGGUCAAAGAUUUUAAACUCAUUCAGAUAUUUCUAAAUUUUGGUUCGGAUUUGGUUCGGAUCUUUGCGGGUUCGAUUCGGGUUCAUAUAACCCAUUUAAAUUAUUUUAAAAAUUUUAAAAUUUUAAAAUUUAUUAUAUACUUUAAAUUUCUCAAAAUCUAUUAAAAAUAAUAUAUUACACAUAAAUUUGAAAAAAUAUGUCAGAGUACAUAAACUUAACAUAUAAAUUGGUUUGGUUUGAAUAUUUGGAUAGAGAGUCAAUAAUUAUUUUAAGCAUUUUUGGUGUUUUUAGUAUACUUUAACAAUUUAAGAUAUUUAUUUUUGACUAUUUGUAUAUAUUUCUAAGUAUUUUGGACAACUUAAAAGUAUCAUAUAUGUUCUGGAUGUUUUUAUAUACAUUAAAUCUAAAAAUAAUUAAUAUAGGUAAAUAUAUAAAUCUAUUUCGAAUACACUCAGGAACCCGAAAUACUUCGGUUCGUAAAGAUUUGGUUUCGGUUCUCUAAAUACCAAAAUUUGAAUAAUUAGGAUAUUUAAUCAAUUUCAGUUCGGGUUUGGUAAUCGGAAUCGGUUCGGUUCUUCAUAUUCAAAUUUUUUGCUCAGCCCUAAUAGUGACAUGACAAAUAAAUAGAAAAAUAUUUUUGAAAAAAAUACAUACGCGCCGGUGCGUGAGUCAAAAUCUAGUAUGUAAUACAUUGGUUGUUCUGUCCCGGUCUGAUUCCACAGACAACCUCAAGUUUGAAUAAUAGAAUAGUUGUCUAAUUUUAAAAAAAAACAGCAGAAUUAUCAUAUAGUUACAAUUACACACAAACUUUCAAUCCUAUCUCAAUUUCACUUAAUUAAAGUUAUUCAACAUAUUAUUUCCCAAUUCAAUGUUUUAAACUGUAAAACCACAUAAUCUUUAAAGUUGAAACUAGAACCGACACAUAGCUGAUUUACAUCGGAUUAAUAUUUUUCAAUUUGAAAACAACCAAUCAAUAACAAAUUAAACCUUAAAUGAAGUUACACAUAAUAAACCAAAACUUAAUUAAGCCUAACCUAAUAACCUGUUUCAAACCCACAAGCCACAUCAUCAUCUUCUUCCUUGUUUCUCUGCUCUCACCACACAAACAUCAUCCUGCAUUCUCUCACUUGCAUAUCUCCUUCAUUUCCAUCAAUGAUUGCAUGCCUCCAGAAACGAUGAACAUUGCUCUGUGAUUAUAGGUCCCAGUUAUAGGCUUAUUUAUUGUUGAUCUAGAAACAUGUGAUUUGAUACCAAAUAAGGUCCAUCUUCAAAUCAGAAAUAAUUUGUCAAGAACAAACUAAGAACACACAUUUCUUUGGGUAGUUAAGACUACCUCUUUUUUAUUUUUUUCAUUGAUUUAAAUAGAUAAAAGUUACAAGAAGCAAUUGUGGGAUCAUGAUCCCUAUACAACGAUGAAAUGGGAAAAGUGGGAUGAUUAAGUUUCUAAACAUUAGGAAGAAUCAAUCUCCAUGAUUAACAACAAAACUCAUUAAAAAAAUGUGGGGGGGGAAGUUGAAUUGUCACCACUUGCAACAACCAAAGCCGCCUUUGUCCUGAGUCCAUACAUUCACGCUGUUCUAGUUAGUCUUGUUUUUAUCUCUUUCAUCACGAUGACAGUGGGAGUUUUAGCUUUGCAAGGCUCUUUCAAUGAUUCAGCUACGGAUUGAUGAAAGUUCUCCGUGGAAAGGUCUCAAGCGGUGAAGGAGAAAGAGAUGGGUGUGGUUCUUAAAUUUGUUAGUCGUAGUUCUGGUGGCUCUGGAGGAGAUCUCGAGAUAGUCUCGAUGACGCUCUCUGGUGAAAAGAGUCCAUGCGAAAAAGUUGGGUGAGGUGGUUUCAGAGUUUCGUCUUCUCCGGCGAUGUCUUGUGAUGAUCAGUUGGUUUGUCACUACUCAUGAUUUUUCUUCCAACUGGUUAUUUUGUGGAGUUAUUUCCAUGGAAUUUGGGACUGUUUUUUUUUUUCCAUUUUCGUGGAGUUAUUUAUUUUUCUUCAAACAGAAUAUUGAAAAAGAGAAUGUACGAGCGAAGAAAUGUCUUUUGAAGAGAAAAUUCAUACACAAGUAGGGGAAAUAUAAUGCGAUAUAAUUUGAAAGAUGGAUACAAUACAAUAAAUAUAUCAAAUAAACUCAUACUUUAUUAUUCUCUUUUUUUAUAUUAUAAUCCCAAAUUUGAAAAAGGACUUAGCGCACAAGGCUCCAAAAAACACAGCUUCAAAAUGGUAAGGAAACAAAACCAAAUUAUUUAGAAACGUGCCAACAUCCAAACAAAACUUUGCUUGGUCGGUUCAUUAUUUCUCACUAAGCGGACGGCAUCAGAUUUAACAAUAUAUGCGCGUAUCUGAUUACAUCGUUUCCUGGAGGCUCCUCUGUAUGCUCUCCAUAUGUCAAUAAAAUGAUUGCCAUCCCUUAGAUAACAGUGCCAUACUAUCCUAUCGCCGCUGCCUCUCUCCCUAACCGGGAAGUUGUAUUUACCAUUGAAUUUUAUUUCUUGAACACUUAUAGUUUCCUUUUUGUUCGAUGUGCAGUUGACUUUGACACUACGAGGAGGUUCAAGUUGGUUUUGAAAUUCCACCAGAUUGCAUCCGGAAGUUCUUUUCGAACUAAAACACAUAACAGUUAUUAACAUAAAAGUAAUGAGAUUAUUCAUCUUUUUUUUUUUUUUGAAGAUGCUAGAGACCCAAAGCGUAUUAUGUAUAGUUUCUUUUGUGAUGAAUAAGGUAAGAAGCUAAAUAUAGACACACAUAUUACUCGAUUAAAGUUAUGGUUGGAGGAGCAUUCGCAGUCGAAAAGUAAGGUAAAACCAUAAGAUAAGAUCAAAUAAAUUUAAAUUGCAAAUUAACGUUGACCACUAAAACUAAAGAAACACGAGUCUGAAAGUAGGUUCUACAUUUUAUGCAUAAAAUUUGUUUUGAUCUGUUAUUCGUUCUGAUUCGAAUAUUAAAAAUAUAUAUCCAUUAAAACGAAAAAAAUCACAAAUAUUAAAAGUUUAGGAUGCGGAUACC